AAAAGCCAAGAGAGAAGAGUCUACAAGUGAAUAGAUUGGAGAACGAACAAGAAGAAGAAAAUGUUAGCUCAGAAUUAAGCAAGCAAAAGACAAUUGUCUCAAUCACAGGAGAAUAUGAGCAGGAAUGUACAUCAAAUGAGACAUUAGAGCAAUAACCCUUAAAGAAGAAUGAGGUAGCAGAGAAUGAGGCAGCAAUAUAAUAAAAGGAUAGACUAGAAGAACGUCAUAGCCAAGAGGGCAAAAAAGUCCCAACGAUAAGAAAAAUAUCAAAACAGAAGAAGAUGGAUAAAAGAGACGCAGUGGAAGACAUCAGCAGGAAAGAAGACAUGUCCCCAAGACAAACAAGUCAACUGAAAGUUAGGACAAAGAAGCUUGCAGAAGAGCAUUGGAAGUUGGAAAGUGAUGCAGGGCCCCCAUUUGCUAUAGUUCAUGAAAGUUAAAAAAGGUAAAGUCUGCUCUUGCUCGAUGGAGCAAGAACACUUUUGGUAAUGUUUUUCAAUAGGUUGCUACUUUGGAAGACAUUAUCAAAGCAAUGGAGGUGCAACUGGAGAACUCCUCAUCCCAUGAGAAUAGGGCAGCACUUAGCAAGGCAGAAACUGAUUUGAAAAGGUAUUUGCAUAGAGGGGAAUUCUAGAAACAAAAAUCAGGCAUGAGGUGGUUCAAGAAUGAAUAAAAAAAUAUCGAGUUCUUUUAGUAUUAUGUUAAAUAAAGAAGAACGAAGUUAAAUGUUUUUAAGAUACAAACCAGACAAGGGGGUAUAAUCACAUCAACCCAGAAUAUUAGUGAAGAGGCAGUUGCAGUUUUCAUGGAAUAAUUCGAAGACACUCAAGAAGAGAAUGAUUUUUCUAUGGUACAGUGCAUCCCAAACCUCAUUUCAAGGGAGCAAAAUGGAGCGCUGUAGAAGAGGCCCACAAAAUAUGAAGUCAAACAUGUGAUUUUUUUCCUUAAUUGAAGAUAGUACAAAUGGUCUUGAUGGUCUCUCAAGGUAAUUUUUCAAAAAUAUCUGAAACAUUAUCAAGGAGGACAUCACUACCAUGGUGAAAGCUUUCUUUUGUGGCCAAUAACUACCUAGCACUUGGAACAAUUUAUCAAGGCAAGAAUACCAAGUAUCACCUCACUUAUCAAUUAAAACAUAGAUGAACUUGAAGCGGAAUUGGACCACCUUGGAAGGCCUAUUGCUGUUGAUGCAGGCGUAUGUAAUCUUUAAAAUGGUCGAGGAAUUAAAUUCUAACGUUUCCCAAAAGUGGACCAUAUGUUGGAUGAUGACUACUCUGAUCAAGAAACCUUCAUCUCACUCAAAUGUGCAAGAUUGUAUGACCGCCUCAUGACAAACAUUUUAACAAGGAAAAGAGGCAACCUUUGGAGAAGCUUCAAACCCACUGGCUUAAUUUUUAUAGGAUAUUGGUUGAUAGUUGUUGCAUGUGUUUCAUUGGGGAUCCAAUUGAGAAAAGUUUUCAAAAUGUAAAAGAGUUCUAUGCUAAUGUUGUCUAUUUCAAGCUCAACUGUAUACUAUUUUUGAACUUUGUCGUUCUUUUGAUAAGAUAUUUAAGGAGCAUCUAGAUGGAGGGUAAGUGGAUUUUUUUCCCUUUAUUUCCAAAAUUAGGGAAACUAGGCCAAAGAAUGUGCUAGUUUGCCAUAUUGUGGUUAUUUUCUCUUAAGUGUUAGAAAAUUUGCCUGACCCACAUUGAUGUGCAAGAGUCUCUAAAGGGGUUUAAUUAUAUUUGUUUACUCAUUUCAUAUCCUUAAGGUUUGUCGGUUGGACCUUUUGGAUUCAUUCGCAUGACGUUAGUACCGAAAUUUGGAAAGCUCAUCUCUCCUUACAUGUUUUGUUUGCACCUACCUUUUCUCUUUCAACUCAACUUCUGUCUAUGGUACUUCUUUGGUUUUUGUUUGUUUUUUUGGGGGGGGGGGGGGGGGGGGGUGUAGAGUGGAAAGAUGAUUUUUGUUAAAGGGUGAAAAGAGACCACCAAAUCUAACUUUCAGUAUCGUAAGUACUUCAAAAAAUCAAAGAAACCAUAGUGGAGAACCAUAAAGCACAAGAAAAUUUGAAACACAAGGAGGACUUUGGCAAAGGGUGAAAAGAGAUCACCAAUAAAACUCAAGGAAUUGACAACACAUUUCAGUAGACAUGCCACACACAUCUAUCUUGUCUGUAAGGAUAACCUUGCUUGUACUGAUUCAAGAUGAAUUUCCAGUUUAUUGCUCUUAACCUAGACUUUAUUUAACAUGUAUUUUCUCUUUUUGGUAAUCAUUCAACCUGGUGAUGAUCGAAUUUAUGGAGUUUUUGACAACCAACUACCUGCUGCUUUGAGAAAACUCCCCUUUGACCAAUAUCUCUCUGUGCAAAAUGUGAGGAAAGUUGUUUCAGAGGCAGACGGUUACCAGCCUCGCUUGAUAGCACCUGAGCAAGGUUAUAGACGGCUAAUUAAGGGGGCCUUAAAUUAUUUUAGAGGCCCAGCUGAAGCGUCUGUUGAUGCUGUAAAUAACCUUUCAAAAUUUAUCAGUGUCAAAUCGUGAUUGCUUGUUAUCAACAGGAGUAAAUAUUGUCUUUUAUCACAAUUUACCUACAUGUUUCAAAUCUUUUCUUCUUUUCAACACUUAUGUGCGCAGUGAAAAGGCAUCAUAUAAAAUGAAACAGAGGGAGUAGGUCAUAUGAUUCAAUGUAUCAUCUUGAACAUACCAUCCUUUGUUAUUAUCAGUUGCAGGUGAGAUAGACUAUUGUGAUCAAUAUAUGCAUGGAUGUGGAGCUCAUACAGACUAUGGAAUGAUAACUAUCUUAAUGACCGACGGUGUUCCUAGACUUCAGGCAUGUUACAAAGAGUUGAUUUCUCAUGUGGUCACUCAACUAAUAGUUAUUCUCAAAUUAAGAUAAUAACUAUUAGUUGAGUAACUAAGCAAGAAAUCUACCCAUAUUAAAAAUGUCUAGUUGACGCGAAAACAGUAAAUGCAUAGAGUAUUGAUAAUUCUAGCAUUUCAUCUGUAUUCUGCCUUUUAUCAGGUUUGCAGAGAUAAAUUACAGAAACCUCAGAUUUGGGAAGAUGUGUCUCAGCUGAAUGGAGAAUUGGAGAUAUGGGCCGGAGAGUCAGCUAUGGAGGAGGGCAAAGUUCAUUGGGAUACUUAUUUGGAAGCGGUGAGGCGCCAAAAUCAACCACGACAAAUGCACUAGUUGUUCAAAGUGAAGGGCCGACAAUAAAUAAGGAGCCAGCUUCAAAGCCUGCUGGUUCUGCUGCAGUUGACGCUACUAAGCAAAUUCCUGCUGGUAUUCAGAGCACCGCUUCGAGAAACCAUUUUGGGUCAGAUGGUCAAAACAAAGGCAACUUUAUCACGCCAAGUGAUGCGGCUAGUGGACCCAUUUCGCCAUGGAUGCAAGGAGACCACAUGAUGAUAGUGAUCCUAAUGAUAGUCGUUGAUUUCGUUGCAAAUUGUCUUGGAUAUUCAAUUAUGAUAUGUAAUUGUGUGGUUGGAGUGAAUCUUAGAAUAUUGAAGGUUUUGUGUUUAAAUUUGAUUUUGGAGUUUGAAGAUACUAGUUAAUGUUGAAAAUUUGAAUUUUGAAGAUGCUAAUGUUAAAAUUUAAUUUUGAAGUUUAA
Capsicum annuum is the source of this 3587-nucleotide RNA transcript. It is a transcript of the gene named protein SPIRAL1-like 1, with no coding region annotated. NCBI's taxonomy places the organism in Eukaryota, Viridiplantae, Streptophyta, Magnoliopsida, Solanales, Solanaceae. The transcript has 6 exons. The record is from RefSeq and is a predicted model, not a curated record.